This 651-nucleotide ribosomal RNA is filed under the name uncultured bacterium. RNAcentral describes it as "bacterial SSU rRNA". It matches the Rfam family "Bacterial small subunit ribosomal RNA", at positions 623 to 1273 of the family's 1533-position model. The record is from RNAcentral.
GCAUUCGAUACUGGGAAGCUAGAGUAUGGGAGAGGAUGGUAGAAUUCCAGGUGUAGCGGUGAAAUGCGUAGAGAUCUGGAGGAAUACCGAUGGCGAAGGCAGCCAUCUGGCCUAAUACUGACGCUGAGGUACGAAAGCAUGGGGAGCAAACAGGAUUAGAUACCCUGGUAGUCCAUGCCGUAAACGAUGUCUACUAGCCGUUGGGGCCUUUGAGGCUUUANUGGCGCAGCUAACGCGAUAAGUAGACCGCCUGGGGAGUACGGUCGCAAGACUAAAACUCAAAUGAAUUGACGGGGGCCCGCACAAGCGGUGGAGCAUGUGGUUUAAUUCGAUGCAACGCGAAGAACCUUACCUGGUCUUGACAUAGUAAGAACUUUCCAGAGAUGGAUUGGUGCCUUCGGGAACUUACAUACAGGUGCUGCAUGGCUGUCGUCAGCUCGUGUCGUGGGAUGUUGGGUUAAGUCCCGCAACGAGCGCAACCCUUUUCCUUAUUUGCCAGCGGGUUAAGCCGGGAACUUUAGGGAUACUGCCAGUGACAAACUGGAGGAAGGCGGGGACGACGUCAAGUCAUCAUGGCCCUUACGACCAGGGCUACACACGUGCUACAAUGGUCGGUACAAAGGGUUGCUACCUAGCGAUAGGAUGCUAAUC